This 490-nucleotide ribosomal RNA is filed under the name uncultured bacterium. RNAcentral describes it as "partial 16S ribosomal RNA". It matches the Rfam family "Bacterial small subunit ribosomal RNA", at positions 28 to 507 of the family's 1533-position model. The record is from RNAcentral.
GAUGAACGCUCGCUACAGGCUUAACACAUGCAAGUCGCGGGGCAGCAUGGGGGUUGCUUGCAAUCCCCGAUGGCGACCGGCGCACGGGUGAGUAACGCGUAUCCAACCUGCCCUUCACCACGGGAUAACCCGGCGAAAGUCGGACUAAUACCGUAUGUUUUCCAUUGACGGCAUCCGAUUUGGACGAAAGGUUUGGCGGUGAAGGAUGGGGAUGCGUCCGAUUAGCUGGACGGCGGGGUGACGGCCCACCGUGGCGACGAUCGGUAGGGGUUCUGAGAGGAAGGUCCCCCACACUGGAACUGAGACACGGUCCAGACUCCUACGGGAGGCAGCAGUGAGGAAUAUUGGUCAAUGGGCGUAAGCCUGAACCAGCCAAGUAGCGUGCAGGAUGACGGCCCUAUGGGUUGUAAACUGCUUUUAUGCGGGGAUAAAGUGGCCCACGUGUGGGUUUUUGCAGGUACCGCAUGAAUAAGGACCGGCUAAUUCCGUG